GUGAGUCAUCGAAUCUUUGAACGCACAUUGCGCCCCUUGGUAUUCCAUGGGGCAUGCCUGUUCGAGCGUCAUUUGAACCCUCAAGCUCUGCUUGGUGUUGGGUGUUUGUCCCGCCAUUGCGCGUGGACUCGCCUUAAAGCAAUUGGCAGCCAUGUAAUCCGGCUUUGAGCGCAGCACAUUGCGUACUCUCUACUGGUACAUUGGCAUCCAGAAGCGCAUUUUUUACUCUUGACCUCGGAUCAGGUAGGGAUACCCGCUGAACUUAAGCAUAUCAAUAAGCGGAGGA
This 286-nucleotide unclassified non-coding RNA is filed under the name Pleosporales sp. RNAcentral describes it as "partial contains 5.8S ribosomal RNA, internal transcribed spacer 2, and large subunit ribosomal RNA". The stretch from base 1 to 71 matches the Rfam family "5.8S ribosomal RNA", at positions 84 to 154 of the family's 154-position model. The record is from RNAcentral. Lineage: Eukaryota; Fungi; Ascomycota; Dothideomycetes; Pleosporales.